Molecule: ribosomal RNA, 270 nt
Filed under: uncultured bacterium
Lineage: Bacteria
Description: partial 16S ribosomal RNA
Rfam family: Bacterial small subunit ribosomal RNA
Source: RNAcentral
UACGUAGGGUGCGAGCGUUAAUCGGAAUUACUGGGCGUAAAGCGUGCGCAGGCGGUUCUAUAAGACAGAUGUGAAAUCCCGGGCUCAACCUGGGAAUGGCAUUUGUGACUGUAGAGCUGGAGUACGGUAGAGGGGGAUGGAAUUCCGCGUGUAGCAGUGAAAUGCGUAGAUAUGCGGAGGAACACCGAUGGCGGAGGCAAUCCCCUGGACCUGUACUGACGCUCAUGCACGAAAGCGUGGGGAGCAAACAGGAUUAGAAACCCUAGUAGU